Long non-coding RNA from Egretta garzetta (little egret), 6160 nucleotides. RefSeq lists it as uncharacterized. Lineage: Eukaryota; Metazoa; Chordata; Aves; Pelecaniformes; Ardeidae. The record is from RefSeq and is a predicted model, not a curated record. The transcript is spliced from 12 exons.
CUCUCUGACUUUUGUUGAGGGGUCUGCACAGUGGCAAACUGCCCUUGGUAGCAGCCAGAACCCUCUGAGAGCUUCUCUGAUAAACGCAGCCCAUUAGAUAUGCUUAGGCUGUAGAUUGAAACCAGCUGUGAAUCUGUCGGAAAGAUUUUCCUCAUUGUGCUUUCACCAGGGUGGAAAGUUUGCGGCUUGUUCUGCAUAUAUAUGUAUUUUGGGCUUCAUCGCUCUGACUGUGCGAGCCCUAGAGCCUGCCAGUGAUAAGAGCUCUCAUGCAUACAGGCUCCUUUUGUGGGUUGGCACCCAGAGACCCUGCCUGCCUUUUGCCCAUGGACAACACAGCUUGUGCUUCGGAAGUGACAUUGUGGGCUCUUCCAAAUGGUGUCUCCCAGAUUUCAACCCCUGGUGGAUUGUACGGUGAAGGCAAGUGUGCCAUCUGUGGUUUGGGCUUGUGAAGCUUGUUGCCUGCCCAGCCUCAAGCAGCAUUUUCACCCAAGUAUAAAACAAAGCGGUGCUGAGCCUGGACGGGCCUCCAGGUUGUUGGAGGCAACCGUGGGCAUUUCAAGCGUGUUAAGCUGUCUCCUCUCUUGUCCUUCUCUUCAGUUCCUGUGUUAAGUGGGGGAGUGCAGCAAUCUGGUCUGUAUGAAGAAAAUACCUGAGGAAACCCAAGAGGAAUAUUUAUUUUGAAAGCUUCUCUCAUGAGUUUGUUUUAUCUAUUUUAAAAAAAAUUACUUUAAAAAUAAAAUAGUGUUAAAUCAUGCUGGAGAAAAGCAAUUCCAAUGUGACAGAAGUACAGCGUGCGACAAGAGCCACUUGAUACAGCUACCGGAGGAAGGGCGUGUUAUUCAGUCAAACAGAGGGUUAGAGAACGGCAUCAAAUAUACAUUUUUUAUGUUUGUUUCCACUUUCCAUUUCCCUAGUCCAUUUCUGACUGUGGAUCUCUACAGUGUUGCAUAGACAUGAGUUAUGUCUUAAUGCAUCUUGUGGAGGAAAAUAGGUAUCUAUUCGACCUUUCAAAUAUAGCCAAAAUGACUUCUGUAAGGCUACAGUAGGUCAGUGGCAGAGCUUGGAAAAGAAGUUAGGAGACAUGUUGGCUAGUUAUGUAUAUUUUAACUAGCAAACUAACCUGCUUCCCUGUAUUACAAUAGCAGUGUGAUACCCAUGUGUUCAGAAGCCCAAGCUUUGUAUUCUCCCCUGACAUGGAGAAUUUCCUGCCUAGACCUGAAGAAAAAGUUACUGUAGCUUCUCUACCACUUGUGCCCUAACCUGCUUUUUACCUCAAAUUCAAAGGGGAUUUUGAAUUGUCUUUUAGGGAAUAGGAAAUACCGGGGAUUCAAAGGGACAAAUCCAGACAGGGCAGGGAUCUGCCAUCAUGAUGACGUUAUACUGCAACUUCUGAAAAAUUAACGUAUUAUGAGAAAAAAAAAAAUUUUAAUUUUUUAACUUUGUGUUGUUUUAUUUUUCUUUCAGAAAAAAAUAUGGAGCCUUCCAUUUUAAGACUAUUUAGUUUUGAGUAAAUUCUGCAUUUCCCUUUUGUGAUUUCUUUAUCAAUUUAUAGUUUGCAUGCUUACUGCUCCCAGUCUCUUUGCUAGUCUGAGCUUGCUUGCAGACUGGUAUGUGCCACUAAGCAGCAGAAUUCUAGUUCUCUUUGAGCAGCUUGGUACAUUACGGCAGUUGUUAUCCUAUGGAAGAGGGAUGCAGUCACUCCUGUGGCUUUCAUGAGAGAAAUAGGAGAAGAGCCCAGCAAACUGAAACAAAAUUUUUCAAUUCAUGAAUACUAAAAAUUGGAAUUUCUUCCCCAAACUUUACGUUCUCAGUAAAUCAAAACCAACAUCAGAACUGCAGGGUAACAACUCCUCUCAAAGAUGGGGUCAACUGAAAAAAGACAGAAAUGGCAGCAGUCAAUAAGGGAAAUCUGGGACUUCUUCAUGUCGGGCAUUCAGUAAGGAAGAGGAAACAGCACAGGGCUAGGUCCACCAAAGAAUGUCUCUGUUCUAAUGCACCUAACGGAAUUUAUCCAGAAAAGAUGUGCUAUACUGUGCCAAGGACCAUGCCUGAGCACCUUGGGAGGGAAUGCACAAAACUCUGCACAUACCAAGGAAGAAACUGCUAGCAGGAAGUAUGUGUAUCAUGGCCCUGUUCUGACAGUAUAGGCUCAGUGAAAUGAAGAUGACAAGCAAGUUUUCUACUGUUGUACACCAUAGAAAGGACACUGAAUAAUAAUGCUGUGUCACACUUGAGGACACUGGAAUCUGGCAAAUCAGCAGUAGCUCAAUGUGCCAAGCUCCUUUGAAUGGCCUCCCCUCUACCCCUCCCUGAAUGAUGAAGGAAUCAAAAUCAAGAGUCAAGGAAACUGUGAGUUCUCAUGAAUUUUCAGCAAUGAGUCCAUAUGGGAAUAAUUUCAUUGUGAGAAGGCGGCUUCCAUUCUAUCAUGAAAAAAAGCUGCAUGGAAAUCACGGAAAGCUACAGAAGAAAGUAUCAGUUAUUGUUUGAAAGCAUUGUGGCCUAUGGAGAUGGAAACCAGAACGUGGAUUUGCCUCCAAAUUUUAUAAGCUUCAAGAAACCCAAAUGAUGAGAAACAAAUGCGAAAAGUUCACAAAAGUAGUGGUUGCUCAAAAAAAAAAAUUCUUAAAGCCUGUUGCUUUUAUUGUGAACAGACGCGGUGAGAAGGAUAUUAAUUAUCUCAAAUACCAUAAUUUAAACAGGUAGAGGUAUCCCCAGUAUUUUUUGAUUACCACCUAGAUCAGUGUUAUACUCCUCAGUUGCUGACAAUGAAGUUAUCAGCCAGUGGAUCAAAUUAUUAAGAGGAAGAGUGAGCUUACCAUUUCUUGAAGUCUUCAAAUGGAGAGUGGAUGGUGUGCUUUAGCAAACAAUGGAGACACAGCUGGGUGAAAUUAUACAGUUGUACUAAAGAGAAGGGAACAUGAGAUAUUCUAUGUGGUCCUUUCUAGCCUUAAGAGCUAUAGGUCUAUAAUUUCACAAAUACCGUUACAAAGAACUUCUUAGAUGUAAUGAUGACCAUAGCAACAAUGUGAAUCCACCUCCUGAUUUGGGGUGGAUUAUUCCAAAGUUUUUAAAAAAAUUACAGACUGUAGUACUGUUUCUACAUGUUUCUGUCACUACAAUUCAUAUUACUAGCAUAAUUUUACAGCAUUGGAAUUAUUUUUUUUUUUGAGGACUAAAGAGACCCUUCCUCUCCCCCAAAGAGCUUAAUUGUACUUCAGUUCAUGAAACAGUGUAUAAACAAGUAAGCAUGCAUGCUGCUGCUUUCCUACCUGGUGUAUUUCAGUCAUUAAAAGCUGAAAUAAGUAAGCUAAACUCAGUCAGUGGAAUAAGAGACAAUCCAUGAAGAAAAUUCCAAGACACUUCUUAUUAUUCUAGACCAUUUCUAAGCUAAACUUUAAUUUUCUCCUCCUUGUAGGGUGAUCUGUCACACUGUUUAAAAGAGAACCUUAAAAGAAGAUUAUUUUAUUUUCCCCCAUAGCAGUCCUCCAGAUGAGAAUAUCUAAACCAUUUUUUCCCCAUAUUUCCAGUGUUUUGGGGCAUUGGGCACUGCAGAAACUUAAAUCUGGCAGGGCAGUUGGAAGCUUGGGAAAGCAGUACCUGACUGAACAGCUGGACAUGAAUGAAAUAGUUCUUCAAUGUUGCGACGUGUUUUCCUUACUAUAAAGAAAGAAAGAAUUAAGUGACUACAUGCUCGGAAGAAAGAACUUGCCAUUUUGUGAUGGCUCUCAAUCAUCAUCUUUGUAAGUCCAUUGAACUGUUUCUCUGAUAAAAAACCUGCAGCCUGCAGUACAAAGGGCUUUGAGUAUAUGUGUAAUAUAUACUGUUAUCAGCAAUCACCACUAAGGUCACAAAUGAUAUUCCUUCGGUAUGGUUAAACCAUCUCAGUAAUCAUAAGACAAAGUUACUCCUGUGCCAGUAUGUCUUCUACCCACAGAGGUGGGUUUGGCAGCAUAACUAGGAUCCCAGCAUAGUUGGGAUGUCCUAACUAACACCAGAAGAUCUGAAAAAAACAUAUAGCUGUUCAACAAUUUCAGGGAAAGCUGAUGAUUUUGUGUCCAGAAUGGAUGUGCAUAAUUCCAGAGGCAGAUUUGUAGUUUUUAGAUUGUGGUCAAUGGCUGGUUACCCUUGUUUCUGUGAGUGUCUAAAGCUCUCUUCAUGGCUCACUUCUAUAUAUGUACAUUGUGCCUAAAUAAAUAUCUCAACUCUCCCUCAGCUGGAGGGCUGUCUGCAGAACGGGAUUUAGCCAAACACGGUGUGCCACUCAGAUACAAUGUAGGGCGCACAAUAUAAGAAAGCCCAGAGCAAAUUUGAUAGCAUGUCAUAUACAGGCAUUCAGAUUGCUUUAUCAAGCACUCUUUUCUGGUCCUAAGUUCCAUAAGUUUAUAACUUGCGCUGAUUCAUAUAAGUUCAACUUUCUCUUGCUACUAUGUUUUGUGCUCUUGAGAAAAGGUGAUUGGAAAAGCUGGAUAAUGAAAAAGAAGAGUGGCCCCUGACUGCACUUAAGCUUUUCAAAUAUAUUAUCCUUUAUAAAAAAAAAGCCAACCCAGUUUGUCAUAACAGUUUCAGCGUCAACAGUGAAUAAUCUAUUUGCCAUGCAAAGAAAGACCACAGUAAAAUAGAGGUGUGUGUGUUUAAAACUCUGAUUUCAUGAAUCUACAGGAACAAUUUUAGGUUGAUUUGGUGGAAGGAACUCCUCGGUUUUAUUCCCUAAGGACUAUCUGUUUAGCUCUCUUCUAAAGAGUAUAACAACAAAAAUUAAAAAACAAGGGAGGAGAAUAAGAAGUCGCUAAACAUUUGGAAGCUUUGAGGUCUAGACUUGUUUCCAUUCAUCAAGGUUGUUCUCAAAAGUAAUUUUUGAGCCACACUGCAAAGAAACUGGGAAGAGAUUGAACUGCUAAUGUUCCCUUUUCUGUGUGGAUAUACAGAAAACAGUUUUCUUGUCUCACAAGGAUUCUGUUGAUUUUGAAAUUUUAGGCCUGGCAUGGGGCUCAGUGAAUAUAUGAGUGACUUAAACAAACAAACAUAUUUCAUUUUAAUGCUGACCUUUUUUUUUUUUAACCUUUUAAUAUCAGCUAAAUUAAGUUUCAACAGGAGAAGAUGCUUUUAACCACAGAAACAAGACUUUGUUUUAAAAAUGUUGAAAAGGUACAUUUCUAGAAUUUCAAAACCCGUUUUUCCAAUUUUUUUGACGACAGGAAGCUCUUCUGGGAAUAAUUUUGGUUUUGAAUUGUGAGUUGUGACCAUCUCCUUCUCUAUGAAAGCCCUGUUCUCACUCCCAACUCUAAACCCAGGCUUCUAAUACUUUCCAGAAGUCUAAGGAAUAAAUUCCUUUCAUGAGUUGACUGAAUGGACCGUCUAUCUUGCUAGGAAGAAUCUAACGCAAAAAUUGCCCUGCAGCCAGAGGAGCCACUCUGCAGGCUGGAGAUGGAGGAGCCCCCAGUGUUGGAAUGGAGGUGCCAAGGGCUAGGUGAUCACAAGAGGAAAACCAGGAAGAGUCAAGACUAACGCCUUCUGCAGAUCAUGCAGUACAUUAGAAUUGAGACUUCCCCUGCUUUCAGUAUGUGCUACAGCGGUCUGUAGAAAAUGAAGCUUUCUGCCAACGGUGGAUAAAAACAUAGGUAGGAAUAAUUACUGAGAAUGCUGAAAGAUGUGCAUGACAGCCUACCCUGUAUCUGCUGUCGUGCUACAACCUGUAGAAUCAUGGUGGAAUGUACUGGCAAAAAUCAAGAUGUCAACUGAGAGUUGUGGCACUUGCUACAGCACUGUAUUUAAUCCCCAGGAUUUUUGUCAUGUGUUGCCACCAACCUGGUAUUGGCUGAAGACUGAGAAUGGUAGACGUCAAAGAUCAUCUCUGUGGUCUUACAAAGCUGCCAUUUCUGUGUUCUCCGCAACAGCCUUGGGACACCUCCUGCCAGCAUCCCUGGCAUCACUUCUUGCCUUUAAACCUGUAGUCUAGCUAAAGGCUGUGCCACAGUGGAUGCCUUAGAACGACGUGUUUCAGCGGAUGAAGAAUGCAGUUGUCCUAGUGUACCUCAGAGAUUCAGGUCCUGAUCCUUUCCUGACAUGCAAUCCUCACAAGUAUUUUUAAGACUUGGGAAGAUCUACAGGCAGCAGUGCUAUAAUGAUACACAUGACAUCUUGUGUAAGGCUGAAAAGCUGU